AACGAACGCUGGCGGCAUGUCUAACACAUGCAAGUCGAACGAGAUCUUCGGGUCUAGUGGCGCACGGGUGCGUAACGCGUGGGAAUCUGCCCUUUGGUUCGGAAUAACAGUUGGAAACGACUGCUAAUACCGGAUGAUGACGGAAGUCCAAAGAUUUAUCGCCAGAGGAUGAGCCCGCGUAGGAUUAGCUAGUUGGUGUGGUAAAGGCGCACCAAGGCGACGAACCUUAGCUGGUCUGAGAGGAUGAUCAGCCACACUGGGACUGAGACACGGCCCGGACUACUACGGGAGGCAGCAGUGGGGAAUAUUGGACAAUGGGCGAAAGCCUGAUCCAGCAAUGCCGCGUGAGUGAUGAAGGCCUUAGGGUUGUAAAGCUCUUUUACCCGGGAUGAUAAUGACAGUACCGGGAGAAUAAGCUCCGGCUAACUCCGUGCCAGCCGCCGCGGUAA
Molecule: ribosomal RNA, 449 nt
Filed under: uncultured bacterium
Lineage: Bacteria
Description: partial 16S ribosomal RNA
Rfam family: Bacterial small subunit ribosomal RNA
Source: RNAcentral